This 1330-nucleotide ribosomal RNA is filed under the name uncultured bacterium. RNAcentral's name for it is "bacterial SSU rRNA". It matches the Rfam family "Bacterial small subunit ribosomal RNA", at positions 54 to 1399 of the family's 1533-position model. The record is from RNAcentral.
AACGAAACUCAUAGAACCUAUUCCUUCGGGGAGAAGUUUUAUGAUUUUUAGUGGCGAACGGGUGAGUAACACGAGAACAACCACCCCCUGACAGUGGAAUAACAACGGAAAACCGUUGCUAAUACCGCAUAAUAUCCUUUUACGGCAUCGAAAAGGGAUCAAAGAUUUAUCGGUCAGGGACGGGCUCGCGUCCGAUUAGGUAGUAGGUAAGGUAACGGCUUACCUAGCCUGCGAUCGGUAGCCGGACUGAGAGGUCGAUCGGCCACAUUGGGACUGAGACACGGCCCAGACUCCUACGGGAGGCAGCAGUGGGGAAUAUUGGGCAAUGGGGGCAACCCUGACCCAGCGACGCCGCGUGAGUGAUGACGGCCUUCGGGUUGUAAAGCUCUGUCUUCAGGGACGAUAAUGACGGUACCUGAGGAGGAAGCCACGGCUAACUACGUGCCAGCAGCCGCGGUAAUAUGUAGGUGGCGAGCGUUGUCCGGAUUUACUGGGCGUAAAGGGAGCGUAGGCGGAUUUUUAAGUGAGAUGUGAAAUACUCGGGCUUAACCUGAGUGCUGCAUUUCAAACUGGAAGUCUAGAGUGCAGGAGAGGAGAAGGGAAUUCCUAGUGUAGCGGUGAAAUGCGUAGAGAUUAGGAAGAACACCAGUGGCGAAGGCGCUUCUCUGGACUGUAACUGACGCUGAGGCUCGAAAGCGUGGGGAGCAAACAGGAUUAGAUCCCCUGGUAGUCCNCGCCGUNAGCGCCCACAAGGGGGUAGGGGUGUCAGUACCUCGGUGCGCCGUUAACGCAUUAAGUAUUCCGCCUGGGGAGUGCGGUCGCAAGAAUUAAAACUCAAAGGAAUUGACGGGGGCCCCCACCAGCAGCGGAGCAUUUGGUUUAAUUCGAAGCAACGCGAAGAUCUUUACCUUGACUUGACAUCUCCUGCAUUACUCUUAAUCGAGGAAGUCCCUUCGGGGACAAGAAGACAGGUGGUGCAUGGUUGUCGUCAGCUCGUGUCGUGAGAUGUUGGGUUAAGUCCCGCAACGAGCGCAACCCUUAUUGUUAGUUGCCAUCAUUAAGUUGGGCACUCUAGCGAGACUGCCCGGGUUAACCGGGAGGAAGGUGGGGAUGACGUCAAAUCAUCAUGCCCCUUAUGUCUAGGGCUACACACGUGCUACAAUGGUCGGUACAAUAAGACGCAAGCCCGCGAGGGGGAGCAAAACUGGAAAACCGAUCUCAGUUCGGAUUGUAGGCUGAAACUCGCCUACAUGAAGCUGGAGUUGCUAGUAAUCGCGAAUCAGCAUGUCGCGGUGAAUACGUUCCCGGGCCUUGCACACACCGCCCGUCA